GUGUGUGCUUUUGUAUUGAACAGAUCAGGCUCAGGCGUCGUUAAAAUAAUAAAACACGCGGCGCGAGCGCCGCGCGUCAAAUAAACACGGCACAGAGGGUCGGCGAGAUCAACCAUUCCAAUGAUGAUCCUUCCGCAGGUUCACCUACGGAAA
Molecule: unclassified non-coding RNA, 153 nt
Filed under: uncultured fungus
Lineage: Eukaryota; Fungi
Description: sequence contains ITS1
Source: RNAcentral